GAUGAACGCUGGCGGCGUGCUUAACACAUGCAAGUCGAGCGAAGCUGUUAAAAGGAAGUCUUCGGAUGGAAUUUUAACAGACUUAGAGGCGGACGGGUGAGUAACGCGUGGAUAACCUGCCUUAUACAGGGGGAUAACGGAGAGAAAUUUCCGCUAAGACCGCAUAAGACCACAGCACCGCAUGGUGCAGGGGUAAAAUAUUAAUAGGUAUAAGAUGGAUCCGCGUCCGAUUAGCUAGUUGGUGAGGUAGAGGCUCACCAAGGCGACGAUCGGUAGCCGGCCUGAGAGGGUGAACGGCCACAUUGGGACUGAGACACGGCCCAAACUCCUACGGGAGGCAGCAGUGGGGAAUAUUGGACAAUGGGGGAAACCCUGAUCCCAGCGACGCCCGGCGUGAGUGAAAGAAAGUAUUUUCGGUAAUGUAAAAG
Molecule: ribosomal RNA, 428 nt
Filed under: Lachnoanaerobaculum saburreum
Lineage: Bacteria; Bacillati; Bacillota; Clostridia; Lachnospirales; Lachnospiraceae
Description: bacterial SSU rRNA
Rfam family: Bacterial small subunit ribosomal RNA
Source: RNAcentral